AGCAGCCGCGGUAAUUCCAGCUCCAAUAGCGUAUAUUAAAGUUGUUGCAGUUAAAAAGCUCGUAGUUGAAUUUCGGGAUCAAUGCGUCGGUCGUGCCUUCGGUACGUACUAGCGUAAUUGAUUCCUCCCUUCUGAGGAACCGUGAUGUCAUUAAUUUGGUGUUACGGGGAAUCAGGACUGUUACCUUGAAAAAUUAGAGUGUUUAAAGCAGGCUAACGCUUGAAUACAUUAGCAUGGAAUAAUGAAAUAGGACGUUCGAACCUAUUUUGUUGGUUUCUAGGAUCGACGUAAUGAUUAAUAGGGAUAGUUGGGGGCAUUAGUAUUCAAUUGUCAGAGGUGAAAUUCUUGGAUUUAUUGAAGACUAACUACUGCGAAAGCAUUUGCCAAGGAUGUUUUCAUUAAUCAAGAACGAAAGUUAGGGGAUCGAAGACGAUCAGAUACCGUCGUAGUCUUAACCAUAAACUAUGCCGACUAGGGAUCGGAUGAUGUUAAUUUUUUAAUGACUCAUUCGGCGCCUUAC
Molecule: unclassified non-coding RNA, 520 nt
Filed under: uncultured Glomus
Lineage: Eukaryota; Fungi; Glomeromycota; Glomeromycetes; Glomerales; Glomeraceae
Description: SSU rRNA
Rfam family: Eukaryotic small subunit ribosomal RNA
Source: RNAcentral